Molecule: non-coding RNA, 98 nt
Organism: Acanthosepion pharaonis
Lineage: Eukaryota; Metazoa; Mollusca; Cephalopoda; Sepiida; Sepiidae
Source: the annotation of a GenBank genome assembly
CGUUGAAACACCGGUUCUCUUACGGUCUUGAAGUUAAGCAACGUCGAGCCUGGUCAGUACCUAGAUGGGUGACCGCUUCGAAAUACCAGGUGAUGUAA